Gasterosteus aculeatus aculeatus (three-spined stickleback) is the source of this 1477-nucleotide long non-coding RNA. NCBI's taxonomy places the organism in Eukaryota, Metazoa, Chordata, Actinopteri, Perciformes, Gasterosteidae. The record is from Ensembl.
CCCCCCCCGAGCAUUACCCCAGAGCUUUGCAUUUGUAAUUAAAUCAUAAAACCACAACAACUGCAAAUUUAGUUUUCAAAACGAGCGGCGCGAGGCUGUCAUCUAAGGAACCGGGUGCGUUCCAGGUGUCAUUUUAUCUAUUUAUUUUAUGUGAAGAUGAGAAAAGUUGUACUGUGACACUCAGGAGAUUACAAGUUUCAGCAGGUACGGACGCAUUUAGUGCCGCUUGUAUACCAGCACUCGUUUUAACGUUGUGGCUUGUAGUUCAAGUACAACACUGGAAUAUACUACAGAUCGCCUUUAGCUUGGCGUCUAGAACAGAUUUAAUACUUUUUAUUCUGCCCUUUUCCACUGUUCCAUUUUCUGCAUGAAGCUUAAAUAACGUGUCUGUGCUCUGUAGUUUUUCUUCUUUGCCACGACCCGCCUCUCCUUGUCCUCCUGAUAUGUUGUCACCAUUCACCUCUGAUUACUUUGCCCUCGCGAACAAGUGUUGAAUUAAAUGCCUAAUUUAACACGGGCCUUUUGUUGGCCGCUCUCUUUGUCGGGAGUCUCUUUCUAAACGGGCGGUGUUGUGGACGGCCUGUGGGAGACGCUCGGCCUCCUCUCAUUGUGCCCCAGGGGCGGGGGGGGGGGGGCACCGCGUCCUUGGGCAAGGCAGCAGAGCCGUCAGCUCCCUCUGUCACACUUUAUCUGCAGGCAGGACGCGGCCAGCCCUCGGGACACAGCUAGGGGUCCUCAAAGACCCCGGGGCCUUGCCGCUAAUCUCCGAGGAUGCCUACCGCGGGGUUGUUUAGCAACCGCCUCUGCCUCACGGCGUUUGUGUUUGGACGCCGUGUGACGGAGCGCUUGAUGCGAAGGUUACGGCAAAACUAUCCAAACAACACGAUGGGCACUUUUGUUGCUCACUGAAGAGGCGGCGCGAUCAGGAGAGCCCACUGCGCGUCCUUUGAGGCCCCCGAGUCAUGGGAAGAACAACGAGUACCCUCACAAGCACCACGUGAAGCUUCUCAGGAGGUGUCACCAAAAGGUUACUGAGAUGUUUCCUUGUUAAAUUGAACUAAAAUGCUUUAUUUUGUAUUAAAUUUAGUUUAGUUUUUUCAGCCGUUCCUAGAUUCUUAAUUCUUAUUUUAGAACGAUUUGUGGGGUCUACAAAAUGUGAUAAAUAAAUAAGGGGAAAAUCAGGAAGGAAUGCCGUCUCGCACCGGAGUGAAAAAUUGUUGUCCGAGCGGCGCGGUGAAAAUGAUCCAGAGGCCCGGCAGUGGUUGGAAGCACUGACAUCGUCAAGUAGGAGAUAAACGUCAUAAACGGUAAAUUUCUGGUGCUUCUGUGUAAAACAUAGUAGGGAGGUAUGGAAGAGGUCGUGGUGGACUAGUUACACUAAAAUAUUUGACCUUAACUGAAUGCUUAUUCUAAACCUAACCAUGUUGUCACACCAUUACAAACGGGAUUAGCAAUGAAUUUAACCAUAUCAAAGAAU